UACAGAGGGUGCUAGCGUUGUUCGGAAUCAUUGGGCGUAAAGGGCGUGUAGGCGGUUUGUUAAGUCAUGUGUGAAAUCCCUCGGCUCAACCGGGGAACGACGCAUGAAACUGGCAAGCUAGAGUACCAAAGAGGGGGGUGGAAUUCCCGGUGUAGCGGUGAAAUGCGUAGAUAUCCGGAGGAACACCAGAGGCGAAGGCGGCGCACCGGGCUGCACCUGACGCUGAUCCGCGAAAGCCAGGGGAGCGAACGGG
This 253-nucleotide ribosomal RNA is filed under the name uncultured bacterium. RNAcentral's name for it is "partial 16S ribosomal RNA". It matches the Rfam family "Bacterial small subunit ribosomal RNA", at positions 524 to 776 of the family's 1533-position model. The record is from RNAcentral.